This 397-nucleotide small RNA is filed under the name Arabidopsis thaliana (thale cress). Its description in RNAcentral is "ATSL123370". The record is from RNAcentral. Lineage: Eukaryota; Viridiplantae; Streptophyta; Magnoliopsida; Brassicales; Brassicaceae.
AUUAUUUUAUUAUAUGAUUGUGUGACAUAUUUGAGUGCAAUGAUUAUUAGUGUAUAAUGUUAUCUGAUGAAAUAAUUAGGGGUUUGAAUGGUUAUGGCGGUUGGGGCGGACAAAACCGUCAACGGAUCAGACCGUUUUUUAUUUAUCAUUCAUCAAUUAUAGUCCGCAGUGGUCUGGACUUAAAAAAAUAGAAGAAAAUCGUUGCGGACCAUCUGCGGACCGUUUUUACAUACAAAUAAACUUGGUCCGCAGCGGUUUAUUGUCCACCCCAAAAAUGAGAUGGACUAAACCGCAGACAAAUUAGACCGCUUUGUCCGCUGCCUUCAUUCAUAGCCUAGAUGUGUAUCAUACAAAGCGUUUCUUUCUCUCUCUCUCUCAAACCUAAUUAGAAAACAAA